RNAcentral lists this ribosomal RNA (489 nucleotides) under uncultured bacterium. RNAcentral describes it as "partial 16S ribosomal RNA". It matches the Rfam family "Bacterial small subunit ribosomal RNA", at positions 30 to 507 of the family's 1533-position model. The record is from RNAcentral.
UUGAACGCUGGCGGCAGGCCUAACCCCUGCAAGUCGCACGGUAACAGGAAACAGCUUGCUGUUUCGCUGACGAGUGGCGGACGGGUGAGUAAUGUCUGGGAAACUGCCUGAUGGAGGGGGAUAACUACUGGAAACGGUAGCUAAUACCGCAUAACGUCGCAAGACCAAAGAGGGGGACCUUCGGGCCUCUUGCCAUCGGAUGUGCCCAGAUGGGAUUAGCUAGUAGGUGGGGUAACGGCUCACCUAGGCGACGAUCCCUAGCUGGUCUGAGAGGAUGACCAGCCACACUGGAACUGAGACACGGUCCAGACUCCUACGGGAGGCAGCAGUGGGGAAUAUUGCACAAUGGGCGCAAGCCUGAUGCAGCCAUGCCGCGUGUAUGAAGAAGGCCUUCGGGUUGUAAAGUACUUUCAGCGGGGAGGAAGGGAGUAAAGUUAAUACCUUUACUCAUUGACGUUACCCGCAGAAGAAGCACCGGCUAACUCCGUG